Molecule: ribosomal RNA, 590 nt
Filed under: uncultured bacterium
Lineage: Bacteria
Description: bacterial SSU rRNA
Rfam family: Bacterial small subunit ribosomal RNA
Source: RNAcentral
GGGAUAUGGGCGCAMKNGABCCCAGCCAUGCCGCGUGAGUGACGACGGCCUUAGGGUUGUAAAGCUCUUUUGGCGGGGACGAUAAUGACGGUACCCGCAGAAUAAGCCCCGGCUAACUUCGUGCCAGCAGCCGCGGUAAUACGAAGGGGGCUAGCGUUGUUCGGAAUCACUGGGCGUAAAGCGCACGUAGGCGGACUUUCAAGUCAGGGGUGAAAUCCCGGGGCUCAACCUCGGAACUGCCUUUGAUACUGUUGGUCUCGAGUCCGAUAGAGGUGGGUGGAAUUCCUAGUGUAGAGGUGAAAUUCGUAGAUAUUAGGAAGAACACCGGUGGCGAAGGCGGCCCACUGGAUCGGUACUGACGCUGAGGUGCGAAACGUGGGGAGCAAACAGGAUUAGAUACCCUGGUAGUCCACGCCGUAAACGAUGGAUGCUAGCCGUCGGCAAGCUUGCUUGUCGGUGGCGCMGUAACGCAUUAAGCAUCCCGCCUGGGGAGUACGGCCGCAAGUUAAAACUCAAAGGAAUUGACGGGGGCCGCACAAGCGUUGGAGCAUGUGGUUUAAUUCGACGCACCGCAAGAACCUUACCAAGCC